This 253-nucleotide ribosomal RNA is filed under the name uncultured bacterium. Its description in RNAcentral is "partial 16S ribosomal RNA". It matches the Rfam family "Bacterial small subunit ribosomal RNA", at positions 524 to 776 of the family's 1533-position model. The record is from RNAcentral.
UACGGGGGGUGCAAGCGUUGUCCGGAAUUACUGGGCGUAAAGGGCGUGUAGGCGGCUUAUUAAGUCAGAUGUGAAAGCCUCCCGCUUAACGGGAGAACUGCAUUUGAAACUGAUAGGCUUGAGUGUGAGAGGGGGUAGUGGAAUUCCCAGUGUAGCGGUGAAAUGCGUAGAUAUUGGGAAGAACACCAGUAGCGAAGGCGGCUACCUGGCUCAUAACUGACGCUAAUGCGCGAAAGCGCGGGGAGCAAACAGG